RNAcentral lists this ribosomal RNA (301 nucleotides) under uncultured bacterium. RNAcentral describes it as "partial 16S ribosomal RNA". It matches the Rfam family "Bacterial small subunit ribosomal RNA", at positions 509 to 807 of the family's 1533-position model. The record is from RNAcentral.
CAGUAGCCACGGUAAUACAGAGGGUGCAAGCGUUAAUCGGAAUUACUGGGCGUAAAGCGCGCGUAGGUGGUUUGUUAAGUUGGAUGUGAAAUCCCCGGGCUCAACCUGGGAACUGCAUCCAAAACUGGCAAGCUAGAGUAUGGUAGAGGGUGGUGGAAUUUCCUGUGUAGCGGUGAAAUGCGUAGAUAUAGGAAGGAACACCAGUGGCGAAGGCGACCACCUGGACUGAUACUGACACUGAGGUGCGAAAGCGUGGGGAGCAAACAGGAUUAGAGACCCCCGUAGUCCCUGUCUCUUAUAC